RNAcentral lists this long non-coding RNA (397 nucleotides) under Coccomyxa subellipsoidea. Its description in RNAcentral is "long non-coding RNA (CSUB_LNC000543)". Lineage: Eukaryota; Viridiplantae; Chlorophyta; Trebouxiophyceae; Coccomyxaceae. The record is from RNAcentral.
CAACAAUAACAACAACAACAAUGGAGGCUGGGCCGGAAACAACAACAACAAUAAUAACAAUAACGGCAAUAACGGCGGCAACAACAACAAUAACAACAACAACAACGGCCGCAAGCUUUUGGAGGACAUCUCAAACACCAAGGGUGAGCCCUGGCACCCAUGCAUACGCCUAGUUGUGCCUUUUCCUUCAUAUCUGCGCCUGCCAUGUCACCUUCUCCUUCCAUGAUGCACUGCCCUUGUGAGGCUUUUUAGGCUGAGUCUCUGGCUGAUCUGACCUGGGCUUCUUAUGGUUGCACAGGCCGCUCUCUGACCGAGUGGCGGGAUGGCGUUUGGUACGAGGAUAACGAUGGCAACAACGAGCGCAACAGAAACAACGAACGCACCAGAAACAACAACA